Molecule: transfer RNA, 73 nt
Filed under: Spirochaetota bacterium
Lineage: Bacteria; Pseudomonadati; Spirochaetota
Description: Spirochaetes bacterium tRNA-Phe
Rfam family: tRNA
About the family: Transfer RNA (tRNA) molecules are approximately 80 nucleotides in length.
Source: RNAcentral
GGAACCAUAGCUCAGUUGGUAGAGCGUUGGCCUGAAGAGCCAAGCGUCGAAGGUUCGACCCCUUCUGGUUCCA